RNAcentral lists this ribosomal RNA (489 nucleotides) under uncultured bacterium. Its description in RNAcentral is "bacterial SSU rRNA". It matches the Rfam family "Bacterial small subunit ribosomal RNA", at positions 28 to 505 of the family's 1533-position model. The record is from RNAcentral.
GAUGAACGCUGGCGGCGUGCUUAACACAUGCAAGUCGAACGAAGCAUUUAUUUUUGAAGAGAGUAGCUUGCUACGAUUGGAAAUGUUAAAUGACUGAGUGGCGGACGGGUGAGUAACGCGUGGGUAACCUACCUCAUACAGGGGGAUAACAGUUGGAAACGACUGCUAAUACCGCAUAAGCGCACAGUAUCACAUGAUACAGUGUGAAAAACUCCGGUGGUAUGAGAUGGACCCGCGUCUGAUUAGCUAGUUGGUAAGGUAAUGGCUUACCAAGGCGACGAUCAGUAGCCGACCUGAGAGGGUGACCGGCCACAUUGGGACUGAGACACGGCCCAAACUCCUACGGGAGGCAGCAGUGGGGAAUAUUGCACAAUGGGGGAAACCCUGAUGCAGCGACGCCGCGUGAGUGAAGAAGUAUUUCGGUAUGUAAAGCUCUAUCAGCAGGGAAGAAAAUGACGGUACCUGACUAAGAAGCCCCGGCUAACUACG